This 510-nucleotide ribosomal RNA is filed under the name uncultured bacterium. Its description in RNAcentral is "bacterial SSU rRNA". It matches the Rfam family "Bacterial small subunit ribosomal RNA", at positions 8 to 507 of the family's 1533-position model. The record is from RNAcentral.
AGAGUUUGAUCAUGGCUCAGAGUGAACGCUGGCGGCAGGCCUAAUACAUGCAAGUCGAACGGCAGCACAGCAGAGCUUGCUCUGUGGGUGGCGAGUGGCGGACGGGUGAGGAAUACGUGGGAAUCUGCCCAGUCGUGGGGGAUAACGUAGGGAAACUUACGCUAAUACCGCAUGCGCCCUUCGGGGGAAAGCCGGGGACCUUCGGGCCUGGCGCGAUUGGAUGAGCCCACGUCGGAUUAGCUAGUUGGCGGGGUAAAGGCCCACCAAGGCGACGAUCCGUAUCUGGUCUGAGAGGAUGAUCAGCCACACUGGAACUGAGACACGGUCCAGACUCCUACGGGAGGCAGCAGUAGGGAAUAUUGGACAAUGGGCGCAAGCCUGAUCCAGCCAUGCCGCGUGAGUGAAGAAGGCCCUCGGGUUGUAAAGCUCUUUUGUCCGGAAAGAAAAGCGCCGGGUUAAUACCCUGGUGUCCUGACGGUACCGGAAGAAUAAGCACCGGCUAACUUCGUG